GUAGACUCUGGUUGGACCAUUCUCCACAGGCAACGCUUCUCAUGCCAUGUCCCUUUGUGGGCCAGUGACCAGCCUCUUUUUGUUCCCUCAGCUGUGGACAACAGGGGAGCCAUGGGAUGCAUGGCAUGGGCACCUGGGGCCACCCAUAUGUGGGAGAUGUUUCCCUUUGCAGGUGCUACGGGACUGGCAGGUACCAGUAGCAAACCACACAGUGAUGCAGACCAGCCAUGCCUGCUGCCCACAUGCUCAGAGGUGUGGGCCACUGGCAAGCAUGUUCAUCCGUUCUCAGCACCCGCCACCCCAGGAGCCAGCCUGCAUAGCCAGGCACGCGGUGAGCCCUCUGUCAACAUCCCGUGACUGCAUUAUUAUGAUGAAGCCUGCCCUAGUGCACGUAUUAGGCUGGAAGGCAAGUAGAUGAAUCCAAAAUUGGGAAGAAGUGAAAAGCCAGAGGCAGCAGGGGCUUGGGGCAUUUGCCCUCAAAACGGCUGAGACCUCAACAGCCCCAGAGCCGGGUGAGCCUGAGAAAUGGACAUACAUUGAGGGAAGAGAAAAAGCCGAGAGAAAAGCGGUUUGAACGGGGGGUGAUGUCACCGGUUACACGCGUGGUUUCUGAUGGUUUAACGCGGGCCCUGGAGAUAUUUGCAGAACCUGCUCUCAAAUGCCAGCUUCUUGCUGGCGAUGUCACCGCCCAUCCCGGUUCACGGGGGCAGGUGACGAUGUCUCACACUCCUCAGCAUGCACGCCCGCGUGAAUCAGGGCUUGGGGGAGUGGGAACUCGGACCAGAAUAUCUUGGUAUUUAGUAACACAGGAAAGGACACGGAUGGGAAGCUGCCGCUAAAUGCCUAGCGAGAGCCGCUCACGGGGGGCUGAGGGGAUGUUGUUAAGUAAAUUCCACGCAGCUACCCCAUGAACCCUUUGAAACUGGCCGUGGAGGAGCUCGCUUGGUGAUGGUCAGGGCACACCUCGGAGGCUUCUCAGGGGGCAGGAGGGUGGGGACGGGCUCUGGGCUGCCACUGGGGAGACUGUAGUUAUCUGGGGGUGUCGUCAAUGUGGGUUUGGUGGAAAGUGCCUGUGGGGAGAUGACUCCAGGAAGAGCCCGGGAAGCAGCUGUGGACCUCUGGCAGGUCGGUGUCCUGGGUUCUCUGCUUCUGUGUUGUGUCCUAGGAAAGCAGGGGUGACGUGGAGCAUAUCCCACCGCCGGCUGCGGCACCAGAGCCAGCCCAGGAGCCUCCCUUCUCCAAGAGGGGCUUGGAGGGGAGCCGUGGGACCCCACAAAGACCAUCCCGCUGGCUGGCCGCAGAGGAGUCGUGAGGUUUCAUCUCGCAUCCAGAGCCAAUCACGCCACGGCAGGGCCGCCUCGGGAACAAGCUCUUUGUCCUGGGCCCAAACCCCCCACAACUGGUGCCAAUCUCCCUUCUCUACUCCUGACGCGCCGGGUGAGCUGAUGACCAAGCCGGUGGAGGUGACUGGGUGGCCACUGAGCCCUCAUCCAGUCCCCAGAGCCAGCAUGAGAGGGCAGCUGGUUCUUGGGGCAUUAAACCCUUCAAGAGGACCCAGAUAUCAUCAGGUGAGGAAUGUCUCACCUAUGGAGGUGUUUAAAGCUGAGUCCAUGCAUCUCACAAUUCCUCAUCUCCCUUCACUGACUGUUCACAUUUUGCCACAUUUGUGCACCUGCCUGCUCUUGCCUUCUCUCUCUCUCUCUCUCUCCCCCCACACACCCCUGCCCUGCCAAACCCUUGCAGGCAGGCUGAAGCCACCAUAGCACUUCCCCGUCACACUUUGGGCUGUGCCUGCUGAGAACAUGGUGCACUCCUACAGAGAGGUUCUGUCAUCCACCCCAGAAAACAGACACCGAUGCCACCAUCGAAUAUUCAGUCCACGUCCCAAUUUCUCCAGUGCUGGGACUGUGCCUCAGGCUGCCCUGCCCGGCAACUCUGAUUAUCGGCUAUUCCACGUCUCCAUUCCUUCAGUCCACAAACACUUAUUGAGCACUUACUGUUUGCCACGUCCUGUUCUAGGUGCACGGGACACAGUGAACAAGGCAGAUCAGGCCUUGCUCCCUGGGUCCCCUGCUAGCGGGGAGAGGAAGUCACCGGGAGAAGCUGGAGUCAUUGCAGAGGGUGCCAGGGUGUCAGGAUGGUGAUUGGAGUCAGGCCCCAGCGUGUGGUGGGAUUUGGAGGUUGCGGGUGAGCUGGGACCUGGGUGACGAGCCGGAGCUGACCACGCAUCUUUGCGUCCGAGUCCCAGGCUGUUCCCUCCCUGGCUCCCUCACUCACUGUCUGGGUAGUGGCGGUGCCCCAGGUGCCCAGUGCUGUGCCAGGAGUGAGGGAUGGGGGAGUGUGUUGCGGUUACCCCAGGCUGCGCUGCUGUGGGUGCAGGGCCUGUGGGGCCGACCGCUUGGCUCUCCGCAUGCAGGCGUCCAGGUGGAGCGGCUCUCAGGCGAGGAGCUGACCCAGGAACGGUCCCGGGGAGCUCGUCCUCACCUGGAUGAGAUCCCGGACUCAGAACAGAGGCUGCAACGGGUUGAGACUUUUGGGGUCUGCUGGGAGGGGGAGCGAGGAUAUUUUGCACAGGGAAGAAAUGCAGGACUCGGUGGCCAGAGGGCAGAGGGUGACACUUUGAAAUGUGUCCUCAAAUCCUUGGGCCUGCUCAUCAAACAGUGGGGCCUUAAUGCAGCACUUCCCCUGAAUGUGGGCCAGACUUGGUGACUCGCUUCUGACAAACAGAAAAGGAGCAGAGUGACGGCAGACACGCGAGACUAG
Molecule: long non-coding RNA, 2763 nt
Organism: Piliocolobus tephrosceles (Ugandan red Colobus)
Lineage: Eukaryota; Metazoa; Chordata; Mammalia; Primates; Cercopithecidae
Source: Ensembl